GUUACCUUUUUUAUACUUCUUACUCUCACUCUCUCUCCAUGUUUCUCUUCUCAAAAGCUUCUUACUACGGUAAUCAUAGAGAAGUAUUAAUAUACAGAGAUAGAAAUAAUGAGAAAAAGAGAGAGAAAGAGCACACGUCUGAACUCGA
This is a long non-coding RNA of Neodiprion fabricii, 148 nucleotides long. RefSeq lists it as uncharacterized. NCBI's taxonomy places the organism in Eukaryota, Metazoa, Arthropoda, Insecta, Hymenoptera, Diprionidae. The record is from RefSeq and is a predicted model, not a curated record. The transcript is spliced from 3 exons.